This 705-nucleotide ribosomal RNA is filed under the name uncultured Atribacterota bacterium. RNAcentral's name for it is "bacterial SSU rRNA". It matches the Rfam family "Bacterial small subunit ribosomal RNA", at positions 9 to 691 of the family's 1533-position model. The record is from RNAcentral. Lineage: Bacteria; Pseudomonadati; Atribacterota.
AAGUUUGAUUCUGGCUCAGGACGAACGCUGGCGGCGUGCCUAACACAUGCAAGUCGUACGAGCUUCCCCGACUCUCUGAGGAGGGGAAGGCUGAGUGGCGAACGGGUGAGUAACGCGUGGUAACCUGCCUUGAGGAGGGGGAUAACCCCUCGAAAGGGGGGCUAAUACCCCAUAUACUCAGGGCCGCAGGGCUUCUGGAGGAAAGCUGGCCUCUGCUCUGCAUGCUGGCGCCUCAAGGGGGCUCGCGUCCCAUCAGCUUGUUGGUGGGGUAACGGCCUACCAAGGCGAUGACGGGUGCCGGCCUGAGAGGGUGUCCGGCCACACUGGGACUGAGACACGGCCCAGACUCCUACGGAGGCAGCAGUGAGGGAUCUUGGGCAAUGGGCGAAAGCCUGACCCAGCGACGCCGCGUGGGGAAGAAGGCCUUCGGGUCGUAAACCCCUGUUCUGGGAGAAGAACAGGAGAGGGGUGAAAGCUCCUUUCCGUGACGGUAUCCCAGGAGAAAGCUCCGGCUAAUUACGUGCCAGCAGCCCGGUAAUACGUAAGGAGCGAGCGUUGUCCGGAUUCACUGGGCGUAAAGAGCUCGUAGGCGCUCCUUAAGUCUCACGUGAAAGCCCCCGGCUCAACCGGGGAGGGUCGUGGGAAACUGGGAGCUUGAGGGCAGGAGAGGAGAGUGGAAUUCCCCGGUGUAGCGGUGAAAUGCGU